GUAGGUGACAAGCGUUGUCCGGAUUUACUGGGCGUAAAGAGCGCGCAGGCGGUCGUUCAAGUCGAGUGUGAAAGCCCCCGGCACAACUGGGGAGGGUCAUUCGAUACUGAUCGACUCGAAGGCAGGAGAGGGUAGUGGAAUUCCCGGUGUAGUGGUGAAAUGCGUAGAUAUCGGGAGGAACACCAGUGGCGAAGGCGACUACCUGGCCUGUUCUUGACGCUGAGGCGCGAAAGCUAGGGGAGCAAACGGGAUUAGAUACCCCGGUAGUCCUAGCCGUAAACGAUGGACACUAGGUGUUGGUGGUAUCAACCCCGCCAGUGCCGAAGCUAACGCAUUAAGUGUCCCGCCUGGGGAGUACGGCCGCAAGGCUA
This 371-nucleotide ribosomal RNA is filed under the name uncultured bacterium. Its description in RNAcentral is "bacterial SSU rRNA". It matches the Rfam family "Bacterial small subunit ribosomal RNA", at positions 527 to 896 of the family's 1533-position model. The record is from RNAcentral.